Molecule: long non-coding RNA, 334 nt
Filed under: Heterocephalus glaber (naked mole-rat)
Lineage: Eukaryota; Metazoa; Chordata; Mammalia; Rodentia; Bathyergidae
Description: lncRNA (ENSHGLG00100051561.1)
Source: RNAcentral
CUCGGGGAGCCCGCAGUGUCCCCGGGGACUGCAAGUCAGAAGCGUGCGGGUGGCGCUGGCCUGGACCCCGAGCCUCAGGGACCCCGCGUGCCGCGUGCCAGCGGCACCGGGAAGCCUGCGGCGGUCGGCGGGAUCCUGGCGCCGGUCUGCGGACUGGUCCUGAGAGCAAAAAGGGACCUUCACCAGCAACAUGUUUUGUGGAGAUAAGAGUUCUGGAAUAAAGUGAAUAUUUGACAUAAAUGAUGCACAAUAAUGUCAAGAUCAAAUAUUAAGAAAUGAUGAAGGGAAAGUGAACUCCAGUGAAGGACAAACAGGCAGAAGUCGCCAGCCAGAG